RNAcentral lists this transfer RNA (73 nucleotides) under Myotis brandtii (Brandt's bat). It matches the Rfam family "tRNA". Rfam says of the family: Transfer RNA (tRNA) molecules are approximately 80 nucleotides in length. Their secondary structure includes four short double-helical elements and three loops (D, anti-codon, and T loops). The record is from Rfam by way of RNAcentral. Lineage: Eukaryota; Metazoa; Chordata; Mammalia; Chiroptera; Vespertilionidae.
GCCCGUGUGGUUCAGUGGGUAGAGCGGCAGUCUGCGGACUGAAGGGUCCCGGGUUCGAUUCCAGUCAAGGGCA